RNAcentral lists this ribosomal RNA (508 nucleotides) under uncultured bacterium. RNAcentral describes it as "partial 16S ribosomal RNA". It matches the Rfam family "Bacterial small subunit ribosomal RNA", at positions 28 to 507 of the family's 1533-position model. The record is from RNAcentral.
GACGAACGCUGGCGGCGUGCCUAAUACAUGCAAGUCGAACGCUUCUUUCCUCCCGAGUGCUUGCACUCAAUUGGAAAGAGGAGUGGCGGACGGGUGAGUAACACGUGGGUAACCUACCCAUCAGAGGGGGAUAACACUUGGAAACAGGUGCUAAUACCGCAUAACAGUUUAUGCCGCAUGGCAUAAGAGUGAAAGGCGCUUUCGGGUGUCGCAGAUGGAUGGACCCGCGGUGCAUUAGCUAGUUGGUGAGGUAACGGCUCACCAAGGCCACGAUGCAUAGCCGACCUGAGAGGGUGAUCGGCCACACUGGGACUGAGACACGGCCCAGACUCCUACGGGAGGCAGCAGUAGGGAAUCUUCGGCAAUGGACGAAAGUCUGACCGAGCAACGCCGCGUGAGUGAAGAAGGUUUUCGGAUCGUAAAACUCUGUUGUUAGAGAAGAACAAGGACGUUAGUAACUGAACGUCCCCUGACGGUAUCUAACCAGAAAGCCACGGCUAACUACGUG